This 1400-nucleotide ribosomal RNA is filed under the name uncultured bacterium. RNAcentral describes it as "bacterial SSU rRNA". It matches the Rfam family "Bacterial small subunit ribosomal RNA". The record is from RNAcentral.
AGAGUUUGAUCCUGGCUCAGGAUGAACGCUAGCGGCAGGCUUAACACAUGCAAGUCGAGGGGCAUCGGGAGGGAAGCUUGCUUUCCUUGCCGGCGACCGGCGCACGGGUGAGUAACACGUAUGCAACCUGCCCUCUUCAGGGGGACAACCUUCCGAAAGGGAGGCUAAUCCCGCGUAUAUCGGUUUCGGGCAUCCGGGAUCGAGGAAAGAUUCAUCGGAAGAGGAUGGGCAUGCGGCGCAUUAGCUGGACGGCGGGGUAACGGCCCACCGUGGCGACGAUGCGUAGGGGUUCUGAGAGGAAGGUCCCCCACACUGGUACUGAGACACGGACCAGACUCCUACGGGAGGCAGCAGUGAGGAAUAUUGGUCAAUGGGAGAGAUCCUGAACCAGCCAAGCCGCGUGAGGGAAGACGGCCCUAUGGGUUGUAAACCUCUUUUGUCGGAGAACAAAACCCGGGACGUGUCCCGGACUGCGUGUAUCCGAAGAAAAAGCAUCGGCUAACUCCGUGCCAGCAGCCGCGGUAAUACGGAGGAUGCGAGCGUUAUCCGGAUUUAUUGGGUUUAAAGGGUGCGUAGGCGGUCCGUUAAGUCAGCGGUAAAAUUGCGGGGCUCAACCCCGUCGAGCCGUUGAAACUGGCAGACUUGAGUUGGCGAGAAGUACGCGGAAUGCGCGGUGUAGCGGUGAAAUGCAUAGAUAUCGCGCAGAACUCCGAUUGCGAAGGCAGCGUACCGGCGCCAGACUGACGCUGAGGCACGAAAGCGUGGGGAUCGAACAGGAUUAGAUACCCUGGUAGUCCACGCAGUAAACGAUGAAUGCUGGUUGUCCGGGUCGAAUGAGAUCUGGGCGGCGAAGCGAAAGCGAUAAGCAUUCCACCUGGGGAGUACGCCGGCAACGGUGAAACUCAAAGGAAUUGACGGGGGCCCGCACAAGCGGAGGAACAUGUGGUUUAAUUCGAUGAUACGCGAGGAACCUUACCCGGGCUCAAACGCAGGCUGACGGGUCCCGAAAGGGGCCUUUCUUCGGACAUUCUGCGAGGUGCUGCAUGGUUGUCGUCAGCUCGUGCCGUGAGGUGUCGGCUUAAGUGCCAUAACGAGCGCAACCCCUGUCCACAGUUGCCAGCAGGUAAAGCUGGGGACUCUGUGGAGACUGCCGGCGCAAGCUGCGAGGAAGGCGGGGAUGACGUCAAAUCAGCACGGCCCUUACGUCCGGGGCGACACACGUGUUACAAUGGCAGGUACAGCGGGAUGCCACGGGGCGACCCGGCGCUGAACCCGAAAACCUGUCUCAGUUCGGAUUGGAGUCUGCAACCCGACUCCAUGAAGCUGGAUUCGCUAGUAAUCGCGCAUCAGCCACGGCGCGGUGAAUACGUUCCCGGGCCUUGUACACACCGCCCGUCAAG